This is a long non-coding RNA of Ornithorhynchus anatinus (platypus), 675 nucleotides long. RefSeq lists it as uncharacterized. The transcript is spliced from 3 exons. The record is from RefSeq and is a predicted model, not a curated record. NCBI's taxonomy places the organism in Eukaryota, Metazoa, Chordata, Mammalia, Monotremata, Ornithorhynchidae.
CAGGUACGGCUCUGGCAUUUGCCAUGUGACCAGUGCCUUAUGGCAGAGCCGAGGUUUCCUGACCUCCAGAGGAAAGCCAGAAGCGAAUGCAGGAAGUGAACACCCUCCAGCGAGACGUGAUCAACUGCCAAGCAGUACACUUAGAUGGUCAAGCCAGCGGUCAUGGACGGUUCUCCAGGGGAGUGACCUGCAGACAAUGGAACUGACGCCAUGGAGAAGCAACAACCCCACACUCCAAUUGCUGCUCUAUGUCUCAGACGGUCCUCGACUGGAUGGACGAUCUGAACUCUCCAGCAGUGCCUGAAGCAGCUACAUAAGGCCAGAGUCCUCCACCAGCCAGCCCCAACCCACUGCCACCUGCACCCCUAUGUGCCCGGAAAUUUCGUGUUGAUCCUGCACCACCGGAGGACCACGCCUACGACGCCGAAGUGGGAUAGCCUGUUCCAGGUGCUCCUGACCACACAAACUACAGCGAAGGUGGCAGAGAGGAAUGCCUGGAUCCUCCACUCACACCUUAAACGAGCAUUCAGGUGUGAUUCACUCUGUGCUAGAGAGCCUUCGGCAGGUGAUUUAGGAAACCCACGCAACCCGCAUUGAGCGUGGGGUGGUGGGACCCUACUUUCUGGUUUUCCUGUCUGAAUCUACAGGGUUGGGGGCAGACAGUCCUUAGAUAGU